Molecule: unclassified non-coding RNA, 337 nt
Filed under: soil metagenome
Description: partial contains 5.8S ribosomal RNA, internal transcribed spacer 2, and large subunit ribosomal RNA
Rfam family: 5.8S ribosomal RNA (bases 1-120)
Source: RNAcentral
GAUGAAGAACGCAGCGAAAUGCGAUAAGUAAUGUGAAUUGCAGAAUUCCGUGAAUCAUCGAAUCUUUGAACGCACAUUGCGCCCCCUGGCAUUCCGGGGGGCAUGCCUGUCCGAGCGUCAUUUCUGCCCUCAAGCACGGCUUGUGUGUUGGGUGUGGUCCCCCCGGGGACCUGCCCGAAAGGCAGCGGCGACGUCCGUCUGGUCCUCGAGCGUAUGGGGCUCUGUCACUCGCUCGGGAAGGACCUGCGGGGGUUGGUCACCACUAUAUUUUACCACGGUUGACCUCGGAUCAGGUAGGAGUUACACGCUGAACUUAAGCAUAUCAAUAAGCGGAGGA